Molecule: ribosomal RNA, 260 nt
Filed under: uncultured bacterium
Lineage: Bacteria
Description: partial 16S ribosomal RNA
Source: RNAcentral
CUGCUGCCUUCCGUAGGAGUUUGGGCCGUGUCUCAGUCCCAAUGUGGCCGAUCACCCUCUCAGGUCGGCUAUGUAUCAUCGCCUUGGUGAGCCUUUACCUCACCAACUGGCUAAUACAACGCGGGAUCAUCUUUGAGUGAUGCAAUUGCAUCUUUCAAACUUAAAACUUGUGUUUAAAGUUUUUAUGCGGUAUUAGCAUUCGUUUCCAAAUGUUGUCCCCCGCUCAAAGGCAGAUUCCCCACGCGUUACUCACCCGUUCG